RNAcentral lists this ribosomal RNA (254 nucleotides) under uncultured bacterium. Its description in RNAcentral is "partial 16S ribosomal RNA". It matches the Rfam family "Archaeal small subunit ribosomal RNA", at positions 474 to 727 of the family's 1478-position model. The record is from RNAcentral.
UACCAGCACCCCGAGUGGUUGGGACGAUUAUUGGGCCUAAAGCAUCCGUAGCCGGUCCUACAAGUCUUCCGUUAAAUCCACCUGCUUAACAGAAUGGGCUGCGGAAGAUACUAUAGGGCUAGGAGGCGGGAGAGGCAAGCGGUACUCAGUGGGUAGGGGUAAAAUCCUCUGAUCCAUUGAAGACCACCAGUGGCGAAGGCGGCUUGCCAGAACGCGCUCGACGGUGAGGGAUGAAAGCUGGGGGAGCAAACCGG